RNAcentral lists this ribosomal RNA (460 nucleotides) under uncultured bacterium. RNAcentral's name for it is "partial 16S ribosomal RNA". It matches the Rfam family "Bacterial small subunit ribosomal RNA", at positions 338 to 795 of the family's 1533-position model. The record is from RNAcentral.
CCUACGGGAGGCAGCAGUGAGGAAUAUUGGUCAAUGGACGAGAGUCUGAACCAGCCAAGUAGCGUGAAGGAUGACUGCCCUAUGGGCUGUAAACUUCUUUUAUAAAGGAAUAAAACGACGCACGUGUGCCUUUGUGCACGUACUUUAUGAAUAAGGAACGGCUAACUCCGUGCCAUCAGCCGCGGUAAUACGGAGGAUCCGAGCGUUAUCCGGAUUUAUUGGGUUUAAAGGGAGCGUAGAUGGGUUGUUAAGUCAGUUGUGAAAGUUUGCGGCUCAACCGUAAAAUUGCAAUUGAUACUGGCAGUCUUGAGUACAGUUGAGGUGGGCGGAAUUCGUGGUGUAGCGGUGAAAUGCUUAGAUAUCACGAAGAACCCCGAUUGCGAAGGCAGCUUACUAAUCUGUGACUAACAUUGAUGCUCGAAAGUGUGGGUAUCAAACAGGAUUAGAUACCCUUGUAGUC